UACGUAGGGGGCAAGCGUUGUCCGGAUUUAUUGGGCGUAAAGAGCGUGUAGGCGGCCUGACAGGUCUGCUGUGAAAACUCGAGGCUCAACCUCGAGAUGUCGGCGGAAACCGUCUGGCUAGAGUCCGGAAGAGGAGAGUGGAAUUCCUGGUGUAGCGGUGAAAUGCGCAGAUACCAGGAGGAACACCGGUGGCGAAGGCGGUUUCCUGGCCGAGUACUGACGCUGAGGCACGAAAGCGUGGGGAGCGAACGGG
Molecule: ribosomal RNA, 253 nt
Filed under: uncultured bacterium
Lineage: Bacteria
Description: partial 16S ribosomal RNA
Rfam family: Bacterial small subunit ribosomal RNA
Source: RNAcentral